Molecule: small RNA, 27 nt
Filed under: Bombyx mori (domestic silkworm)
Lineage: Eukaryota; Metazoa; Arthropoda; Insecta; Lepidoptera; Bombycidae
Description: ovarian small RNA-20354
Source: RNAcentral
UACAUAACAAACAGCGAAACUCCGUAC